Molecule: ribosomal RNA, 429 nt
Filed under: uncultured bacterium
Lineage: Bacteria
Description: bacterial SSU rRNA
Rfam family: Bacterial small subunit ribosomal RNA
Source: RNAcentral
UGGGGAAUAUUGCGCAAUGGACGAAAGUCUGACGCAGCAACGCCGCGUGAAGGAUGAAGGUCUUCGGAUUGUAAACUUCUGUUGAUUAGAAAGAAACGACAAAGAGUAAUAUGCUUUGUUAAUGACGUUACUAAUAAAGAAAGCCCCGGCUAACUUCGUGCCAGCAGCCGCGGUAAUACGAAGGGGGCAAGCGUUAUUCGGAAUGAUUGGGCGUAAAGGGCGUGUAGGCGGUGUAAUAAGUUUUUUGUUUAAUUUCUCGGCUCAACCGGGAGUAUGCAAAAAAUACUGUUAUGCUAGAGUAUGAUAGAGGAAGAUGGAAUUCUCGGAGUAGCGGUCAAAUGCGUAGAUCUCGAGAGGAACGCCAAUGGCGAAAGCAGUCUUCUGGGUCAUUACUGACACUGAAACGCGAAGGCGUGGGGAGCAAACAGG